UGCCAGCAGCCGCGUUAAUACGGAGGGUGCCAGGCGUUAAUCGGAAUUACUGGGCGUAAAGCGCACGCUGGCGGUUUGUUAAGUCAGAUGUUGAAUUCCCCGGCUCAACCCUGGGAACUUGCAUUUGAAACUGGCAAGCUAGAGUCUCGUAGAGGGGGGUAGAAUUCCAGGUGUAGCGGUGAAAUGCGUAGAGAUCUGGAGGAAUACCGGUGGCGAAGGCGGCCCCCUGGACGAAGACUGACGCUCAGGUGCGAAAGCGUGGGGAGCAAACAGGAUUAGAUACCCUGGUAGUCCACGCUGUAAACGAUGUCGAUUUGGAGGUUGUGCCCUUGAGGCGUGGCUUCCGGAGCUAACGCGUUAAAUCGACCGCCUGGGGAGUACGGCCGCAAGGUUAAAACUCAAAUGAAUUGACGGGGGCCCGCACAAGCGGUGGAGCAUGUGGUUUAAUUCGAUGCAACGCGAAGAACCUUACCUACUCUUGACAUCCAGAGAACUUUCCAGAGAUGGAUUGGUGCCUUCGGGAACUCUGAGACAGGUGCUGCAUGGCUGUCGUCAGCUCGUGUUGUGAAAUGUUGGGUUAAGUCCCGCAACGAGCGCAACCCUUAUCCUUUGUUGCCAGCGGUUCGGCCGGGAACUCAAAGGAGACUGCCAGUGAUAAACUGGAGGAAGGUGGGGAUGACGUCAAGUCAUCAUGGCCCUUACGAGUAGGGCUACACACGUGCUACAAUGGCGUAUACAAAGAGAAGCGACCUCGCGAGAGCAAGCGGACCUCAUAAAGUACGUCGUAGUCCGGAUUGGAGUCUGCAACUCGACUCCAUGAAGUCGGAAUCGCUAGUAAUCGUAGAUCAGAAUGCUACGGUGAAUACGUUCCCGGGCCUUGUACACACCGCCCGUCACACCAUGGGAGUGGGUUGCAAAAGAAGUAGGUAGGGUGACCUUCCCCCCUGAGAUUUUCUCCGGGGACAGAGCGGGGGGAGCACAUCUCUUGAGAGUGCUUCC
Molecule: ribosomal RNA, 999 nt
Filed under: Pseudomonas sp.
Lineage: Bacteria; Pseudomonadati; Pseudomonadota; Gammaproteobacteria; Pseudomonadales; Pseudomonadaceae
Description: bacterial SSU rRNA
Rfam family: Bacterial small subunit ribosomal RNA
Source: RNAcentral